Molecule: ribosomal RNA, 549 nt
Filed under: uncultured Glomeromycotina
Lineage: Eukaryota; Fungi; Glomeromycota
Description: SSU rRNA
Rfam family: Eukaryotic small subunit ribosomal RNA
Source: RNAcentral
UUGGAGGGCAAGUCUGGUGCCAGCAGCCGCGGUAAUUCCAGCUCCAAUAGCGUAUAUUAAAGUUGUUGCAGUUAAAAAGCUCGUAGUUGAAUUUCGGGAUCAAUUUAUUGGUCGUGCCAACGGUACGCACUGGUACAAUUGGUUUCUCCCUUCUGACGAAGCAUGAUGUCAUUAAUUUGAUGUCGUGGGGAAUCAGGACUGUUACUUUGAAAAAAUUAGAGUGUUUAAAGCAGGCUUUGGCUUGAAUACAUUAGCAUGGAAUAAUGAAAUAGGACGUUUGAUCUUAUUUCGUUGGUUUCUAAGAUCGACGUAAUGAUUAAUAGGGAUAGUUGGGGGCAUUAGUAUUCAAUUGUCAGAGGUGAAAUUCUUGGAUUUAUUGAAGACUAACUACUGCGAAAGCAUCUGCCAAGGAUGUUUUCAUUAAUCAAGAACGAAAGUUAGGGGAUCGAAGACGAUCAGAUACCGUCGUAGUCUUAACCAUAAACUAUGCCGACUAGGGAUCGGAUGAUGUUAAUGUUUUAAUGACUCAUUCGGCGCCUUACGGGAAAC